GAUGAACGCUGGCGGCGUGCCUAAUACAUGCAAGUCGAGCGAACAGACGAGGAGCUUGCUCCUCUGACGUUAGCGGCGGACGGGUGAGUAACACGUGGAUAACCUACCUAUAAGACUGGGAUAACUUCGGGAAACCGGAGCUAAUACCGGAUAAUAUAUUGAACCGCAUGGUUCAAUAGUGAAAGACGGUUUUGCUGUCACUUAUAGAUGGAUCCGCGCCGCAUUAGCUAGUUGGUAAGGUAACGGCUUACCAAGGCAACGAUGCGUAGCCGACCUGAGAGGGUGAUCGGUCACACUGGAACUGAGACACGGUCCAGACUCCUACGGGAGGCAGCAGUAGGGAAUCUUCCGCAAUGGGCGAAAGCCUGACGGAGCAACGCCGCGUGAGUGAUGAAGGUCUUCGGAUCGUAAAACUCUGUUAUUAGGGAAGAGCAAAUGUGUAAGUAACUAUGCACGUCUUGACGGUACCUAAUCAGAAAGCCACGGCUAACUACGUG
RNAcentral lists this ribosomal RNA (497 nucleotides) under uncultured bacterium. Its description in RNAcentral is "partial 16S ribosomal RNA". It matches the Rfam family "Bacterial small subunit ribosomal RNA", at positions 28 to 507 of the family's 1533-position model. The record is from RNAcentral.